Paenibacillus sp. JCM 10914 is the source of this 407-nucleotide non-coding RNA. NCBI's taxonomy places the organism in Bacteria, Bacillati, Bacillota, Bacilli, Caryophanales, Paenibacillaceae. The record is from Rfam.
AAAGUUUGACAGACAAUCGCUGGCGGUGUCAAAGCCGCGAGAGGAAAGUCCGGGCUCCGUAGGGCAGGGUGCUGGAUAACGUCCAGUCAGCGCGAGUUGAAGGAUAGUGCCACAGAAAUGGACCGCCGAUGGCCGCCUCAUAGCGGCACAGGCAAGGAUGGAACCGAGGUGUAAGAGACCCCGAGGAACGCUGGUGACUUCGUUCCUGGUAAACCCCACUUGGAGCAAGACCUAAUGGGACGCAGUCUCUCUAGAAGAGACAGCCUUUGCCCGAGGCGCGUCUGGGUUGGUCGCUUGAGCCGAUCAGCAAUGAUUGGCCUAGAUAGAUGAUUGUCGCUUAUGGUGGCAGGGUAGUUCCCGUUAUGACCACGAAGAGCACAGAACCCGGCUUACGUAAGGCUUUCCCA